AUAUGUUCUGGGACGGAAGG
RNAcentral lists this transfer RNA (20 nucleotides) under Anabasis ebracteolata. Its description in RNAcentral is "partial tRNA-Gln". The record is from RNAcentral. Lineage: Eukaryota; Viridiplantae; Streptophyta; Magnoliopsida; Caryophyllales; Amaranthaceae.